This 888-nucleotide ribosomal RNA is filed under the name uncultured archaeon. RNAcentral describes it as "bacterial SSU rRNA". It matches the Rfam family "Archaeal small subunit ribosomal RNA", at positions 1 to 878 of the family's 1478-position model. The record is from RNAcentral.
CUCCGGUUGAUCCUGCCGGACCCGACUGCUAUCAGAGUGAGAUUAAGCCAUGCGAGUUAACGUAGCAAUACGUGGCGCACGGCUCAGUAACACGUAGUCAACCUGCCCUGGAGACAAGGACAACCCCGGGAAACUGGGAUUAAUCUUUGAUAGGUCAUCUCAUCUGGAAGGAGAGAUGGUUUAAAGGGGUACGCGGGCUUCUUCCGCGAAUUCGCUCCAGGAUGGGACUGCGUCCGAUCAGGCUGUUGGCGGGGUAAUGGCCCACCAAACCUGUAACCGGUACGGGCCUUGAGAGAGGUGGCCCGGAGAUGGACACUGAGAGAAGGGUCCAGGUCCUACGGGGCGCAGCAGGCGCGAAACCUCUGCAAUAGGCGAAAGCCUGACAGGGUUACUCUGAGUGACUUUCGCUAAGAAAGUCUUUUGGCACCUCUAAAAAGGGUGCAGAAUAAGGGGUGGGCAAGUCUGGUGUCAGCCGCCGCGGUAAUACCAGCUCCUCGAGUGGUCGGGGCGAUUAUUGGGCCUAAAGCAUCCGUAGCCGGUUCCGUAGGUCCUCUGUUAAAUCCAACCGCUCAACGGUUGACCUGCAGAGGAUACCGCGGGACUAGGAGGCGGGAGAGGCGGACGGUACUCCGCGUGUAGGGGUAAAAUCCUUUGAUCCGCGGAAGACCACCAGUGGCGAAGGCGGUCCGCCAGAACGCGCUCGACGGUGAGGGAUGAAAGCUGGGGGAGCAAACCGGAUUAGAUACCCGGGUAGUCCCAGCUGUAAACGAUGCAGACUCGGUGAUGGGUUGGCUUCGAGCCAACCCAGUGCCGCAGGGAAGCCGUUAAGUCUGCCGCCUGGGGAGUACGGUCGCAAGACUGAAACUUAAAGGAAUUGGCGGGGGAGCA